This 821-nucleotide ribosomal RNA is filed under the name Campylocarpon amazonense. Its description in RNAcentral is "partial large subunit ribosomal RNA". It matches the Rfam family "Eukaryotic large subunit ribosomal RNA", at positions 71 to 924 of the family's 3401-position model. The record is from RNAcentral. Lineage: Eukaryota; Fungi; Ascomycota; Sordariomycetes; Hypocreales; Nectriaceae.
GGGAUUGCCCCAGUAACGGCGAGUGAAGCGGCAACAGCUCAAAUUUGAAAUCUGGCCCCCGGGUCCGAGUUGUAAUUUGUAGAGGAAGCUUUUGGUGCGGUACCUUCCGAGUUCCCUGGAACGGGACGCCAUAGAGGGUGAGAGCCCCGUCUGGUCGGAUACCAAUCCUCUGUAAAGCUCCUUCGACGAGUCGAGUAGUUUGGGAAUGCUGCUCUAAAUGGGAGGUAUAUGUCUUCUAAAGCUAAAUACCGGCCAGAGACCGAUAGCGCACAAGUAGAGUGAUCGAAAGAUGAAAAGCACUUUGAAAAGAGAGUUAAAAAGUACGUGAAAUUGUUGAAAGGGAAGCGCUCAUGACCAGACGUGGGCUUGGUUGAUCAACCUGGGUUCUCCCCGGUGCACUCUUCCUCGCCCAGGCCAGCAUCAGUUUGCUUCGGGGGAUAAAGGCGUCGGGAAUGUGGCUCCCCCGGGAGUGUUAUAGCCCGUCGUGCAAUACCCUGCGGCAGACUGAGGUUCGCGUUCCGCAAGGAUGCUGGCGUAAUGGUCAUCAGCGACCCGUCUUGAAACACGGACCAAGGAGUCGUCUUCGUAUGCGAGUGUUCGGGUGUUAAACCCCUACGCGAAAUGAAAGUGAACGUAGGUGAGAGCUUCGGCGCAUCACCGACCGAUCCUGAUGUUCUCGGAUGGAUUUGAGUAAGAGCAUACGGGGCCGGACCCGAAAGAAGGUGAACUAUGCCUGUAUAGGGUGAAGCCAGAGGAAACUCUGGUGGAGGCUCGCAGCGGUUCUGACGUGCAAAUCGAUCGUCAAAUAUGGGCAUGGGGGC